This 253-nucleotide ribosomal RNA is filed under the name uncultured bacterium. RNAcentral's name for it is "partial 16S ribosomal RNA". It matches the Rfam family "Bacterial small subunit ribosomal RNA", at positions 524 to 776 of the family's 1533-position model. The record is from RNAcentral.
UACGUAGGUGGCAAGCGUUGUCCGGAAUUAUUGAGCGUAAAGCGCGCGCAGGCGGUCCUUUAAGUCUGAUGUGAAAGCCCACGGCUCAACCGUGGAAGGUCAUUGGAAACUGGGGGACUUGAGUGCAGAAGAGGAAAGUGGAAUUCCAAGUGUAGCGGUGAAAUGCGUAGAGAUUUGGAGGAACACCAGUGGCGAAGGCGACUUUCUGGUCUGUAACUGACGCUGAGGCGCGAAAGCGUGGGGAGCAAACAGG